RNAcentral lists this ribosomal RNA (1398 nucleotides) under Candidatus Wolfebacteria bacterium. Its description in RNAcentral is "bacterial SSU rRNA". It matches the Rfam family "Bacterial small subunit ribosomal RNA". The record is from RNAcentral. Lineage: Bacteria; Candidatus Wolfeibacteriota.
UAUAAUGAGGGUUUGAUCCUGGCCCAGGAUGAACGCUGGCGGCGUGGAUAAGGCAUGCAAGUCGAACGAACCCUUCGGGGUUAGUGGCGAACGAGUUAGUAACGCCUUGGUACUUACCGUAUAGUCAAGAAUAACUAGCCGAAAGGUUGGCUAAUACUUGAUAGUCUCGAAAGAGUAAAGGAGCAAUUCGCUAUACGAUAGGCCUAGGUCCUAUCAGCUAGUUGGUGAGGUAAUAGCUCACCAAGGCUACGACGGGUAGGGGGAGUGAGAGCUUGACCCCCAACGACGGCACUGAGACACGGGCCGUACACCUACGGGUGGCAGCAGUCGAGAAUAUUCCACAAUGGACGAAAGUCUGAUGGAGCGACGCCGCGUGCAGGAAGAAGGCCUUCGGGUUGUAAACUGCUUUUCUAGGAGAAAAAGUCUGGCCAAUUGUGCUCGCUAACUUCGGUUAGUGGGUGCAAUUGGCUAGAUUGAUGGUACCUUAGGAAUAAGGGGUUGCUAACUUCGUGCCAGCAGCAGCGGUAAUACGAAGACCCCGAGCGUUAUCCGGAUUUAUUGGGCGUAAAGAGAGAGCAGGAGGUUUGGUGCGUCUGUUGUUAAAUCCCACCGCUCAACGGUGGAACUGCAAUGGAUACGAUCAAACUAGAGGAUACUAGAGGUUACUGGAACACACGGUGUAGGGGUGAAAUCCGUUGAUAUCGUGUGGAACACCAAAGGCGAAGGCAUGUAACUGGAGUAUUCCUGACUCUGAGUCUCGAAAGCGUGGGGAGCAAAAAGGAUUAGAUACCCUUGUAGUCCACGCCGUAAANNGGGGACUCGCACAAGCGGUGGAUCAUGUGGUUUAAUUCGAUGGUACACGAGGAACCUUACCAGGGCUUGUACCCUAUUGAAGUCAGAUGGAAACGUUUGAUGCCUGAGAUUUAUCUUUGGCAAUAGGGCAGGUGCUGCACGGUCGUCGUCAGCUCGUGGCGUGAGCUGUUCCCUUAAGUGGGGUAACGAGCGCAACCCUCGUCCUGUGUUACAAGUGUCACAGGAGACUGUCCGCUUUAAGCGGAAGGAAGGUGGGGAUGACGUCAGAUCAGCGUGGCCCUUUGAUGCCCUGGGCUACACACAUGAUACAAUGGUCAAGACAAAGGGUUGCCAAGCCGUAAGGCGGAGCUAAUCUCAAAAACUUGGCCUCAGUUCGGAUUGAGGGCUGAAACUCGCCCUCAUGAAGUUGGAAUCGCUAGUAAUCGUGAAUCAGCCAUGUCACGGUGAAUACGUUCUCGAGUCCUGUACUCACCGCCCGUCACACCAAGGGAGCUGGUAGCGGAUAGAGUCUCACCUAGCGUGGGAUGAGUUCGAGAUCAGUGACAGGGGUGAAGUCGUAACAAGGCACGCGUAGCGGAAGCUGUG